This 2930-nucleotide ribosomal RNA is filed under the name Escherichia coli. Its description in RNAcentral is "23S ribosomal RNA". It matches the Rfam family "Bacterial large subunit ribosomal RNA". The record is from RNAcentral. Lineage: Bacteria; Pseudomonadati; Pseudomonadota; Gammaproteobacteria; Enterobacterales; Enterobacteriaceae.
GGGUUGUGAGGUUAAGCGACUAAGCGUACACGGUGGAUGCCCUGGCAGUCAGAGGCGAUGAAGGACGUGCUAAUCUGCGAUAAGCGUCGGUAAGGUGAUAUGAACCGUUAUAACCGGCGAUUUCCGAAUGGGGAAACCCAGUGUGUUUCGACACACUAUCAUUAACUGAAUCCAUAGGUUAAUGAGGCGAACCGGGGGAACUGAAACAUCUAAGUACCCCGAGGAAAAGAAAUCAACCGAGAUUCCCCCAGUAGCGGCGAGCGAACGGGGAGCAGCCCAGAGCCUGAAUCAGUGUGUGUGUUAGUGGAAGCGUCUGGAAAGGCGCGCGAUACAGGGUGACAGCCCCGUACACAAAAAUGCACAUACUGUGAGCUCGAUGAGUAGGGCGGGACACGUGGUAUCCUGUCUGAAUAUGGGGGGACCAUCCUCCAAGGCUAAAUACUCCUGACUGACCGAUAGUGAACCAGUACCGUGAGGGAAAGGCGAAAAGAACCCCGGCGAGGGGAGUGAAAAAGAACCUGAAACCGUGUACGUACAAGCAGUGGGAGCACGCUUAGGCGUGUGACUGCGUACCUUUUGUAUAAUGGGUCAGCGACUUAUAUUCUGUAGCAAGGUUAACCGAAUAGGGGAGCCGAAGGGAAACCGAGUCUUAACUGGGCGUUAAGUUGCAGGGUAUAGACCCGAAACCCGGUGAUCUAGCCAUGGGCAGGUUGAAGGUUGGGUAACACUAACUGGAGGACCGAACCGACUAAUGUUGAAAAAUUAGCGGAUGACUUGUGGCUGGGGGUGAAAGGCCAAUCAAACCGGGAGAUAGCUGGUUCUCCCCGAAAGCUAUUUAGGUAGCGCCUCGUGAAUUCAUCUCCGGGGGUAGAGCACUGUUUCGGCAAGGGGGUCAUCCCGACUUACCAACCCGAUGCAAACUGCGAAUACCGGAGAAUGUUAUCACGGGAGACACACGGCGGGUGCUAACGUCCGUCGUGAAGAGGGAAACAACCCAGACCGCCAGCUAAGGUCCCAAAGUCAUGGUUAAGUGGGAAACGAUGUGGGAAGGCCCAGACAGCCAGGAUGUUGGCUUAGAAGCAGCCAUCAUUUAAAGAAAGCGUAAUAGCUCACUGGUCGAGUCGGCCUGCGCGGAAGAUGUAACGGGGCUAAACCAUGCACCGAAGCUGCGGCAGCGACGCUUAUGCGUUGUUGGGUAGGGGAGCGUUCUGUAAGCCUGCGAAGGUGUGCUGUGAGGCAUGCUGGAGGUAUCAGAAGUGCGAAUGCUGACAUAAGUAACGAUAAAGCGGGUGAAAAGCCCGCUCGCCGGAAGACCAAGGGUUCCUGUCCAACGUUAAUCGGGGCAGGGUGAGUCGACCCCUAAGGCGAGGCCGAAAGGCGUAGUCGAUGGGAAACAGGUUAAUAUUCCUGUACUUGGUGUUACUGCGAAGGGGGGACGGAGAAGGCUAUGUUGGCCGGGCGACGGUUGUCCCGGUUUAAGCGUGUAGGCUGGUUUUCCAGGCAAAUCCGGAAAAUCAAGGCUGAGGCGUGAUGACGAGGCACUACGGUGCUGAAGCAACAAAUGCCCUGCUUCCAGGAAAAGCCUCUAAGCAUCAGGUAACAUCAAAUCGUACCCCAAACCGACACAGGUGGUCAGGUAGAGAAUACCAAGGCGCUUGAGAGAACUCGGGUGAAGGAACUAGGCAAAAUGGUGCCGUAACUUCGGGAGAAGGCACGCUGAUAUGUAGGUGAAGUCCCUCGCGGAUGGAGCUGAAAUCAGUCGAAGAUACCAGCUGGCUGCAACUGUUUAUUAAAAACACAGCACUGUGCAAACACGAAAGUGGACGUAUACGGUGUGACGCCUGCCCGGUGCCGGAAGGUUAAUUGAUGGGGUUAGCGCAAGCGAAGCUCUUGAUCGAAGCCCCGGUAAACGGCGGCCGUAACUAUAACGGUCCUAAGGUAGCGAAAUUCCUUGUCGGGUAAGUUCCGACCUGCACGAAUGGCGUAAUGAUGGCCAGGCUGUCUCCACCCGAGACUCAGUGAAAUUGAACUCGCUGUGAAGAUGCAGUGUACCCGCGGCAAGACGGAAAGACCCCGUGAACCUUUACUAUAGCUUGACACUGAACAUUGAGCCUUGAUGUGUAGGAUAGGUGGGAGGCUUUGAAGUGUGGACGCCAGUCUGCAUGGAGCCGACCUUGAAAUACCACCCUUUAAUGUUUGAUGUUCUAACGUUGACCCGUAAUCCGGGUUGCGGACAGUGUCUGGUGGGUAGUUUGACUGGGGCGGUCUCCUCCUAAAGAGUAACGGAGGAGCACGAAGGUUGGCUAAUCCUGGUCGGACAUCAGGAGGUUAGUGCAAUGGCAUAAGCCAGCUUGACUGCGAGCGUGACGGCGCGAGCAGGUGCGAAAGCAGGUCAUAGUGAUCCGGUGGUUCUGAAUGGAAGGGCCAUCGCUCAACGGAUAAAAGGUACUCCGGGGAUAACAGGCUGAUACCGCCCAAGAGUUCAUAUCGACGGCGGUGUUUGGCACCUCGAUGUCGGCUCAUCACAUCCUGGGGCUGAAGUAGGUCCCAAGGGUAUGGCUGUUCGCCAUUUAAAGUGGUACGCGAGCUGGGUUUAGAACGUCGUGAGACAGUUCGGUCCCUAUCUGCCGUGGGCGCUGGAGAACUGAGGGGGGCUGCUCCUAGUACGAGAGGACCGGAGUGGACGCAUCACUGGUGUUCGGGUUGUCAUGCCAAUGGCACUGCCCGGUAGCUAAAUGCGGAAGAGAUAAGUGCUGAAAGCAUCUAAGCACGAAACUUGCCCCGAGAUGAGUUCUCCCUGACUCCUUGAGAGUCCUGAAGGAACGUUGAAGACGACGACGUUGAUAGGCCGGGUGUGUAAGCGCAGCGAUGCGUUGAGCUAACCGGUACUAAUGAACCGUGAGGCUUAACCUUACAACGCCGAAGCUGUU